AGCUUUGCGCAGUGGCAGUAUCGUAGCCAAUGAGGUUUAUCCGAGGCGCGAUUAUUGCUAAUUAAAGUUAACAAUUCAGUGAUAUUUAGUAUAUUCACAAUGUUGUGCCACCAUUACCUUUGUCCAGUUUCGAAAAC
Small nuclear RNA from Artibeus jamaicensis (Jamaican fruit-eating bat), 137 nucleotides. RefSeq annotates it as U4 spliceosomal RNA. Lineage: Eukaryota; Metazoa; Chordata; Mammalia; Chiroptera; Phyllostomidae. The record is from RefSeq and is a predicted model, not a curated record. The transcript has a single exon.